GGACGACUUCCAGAGAUGGAUUUCGUCCCUUCGGGGACCUAGUGACAGGUGCUGCAUGGCUGUCGUCAGCUCGUGUCGUGAGAUGUUGGGUUAAGUCCCGCAACGAGCGCAACCCUGUCCUUAGUUGCCAUCAUUUAGUUGGGAACUCUAAGGAAACCGCCGGUGAUAAGCCGGAGGAAGGUGGGGAUGACGUCAAGUCCUCAUGGCCCUUACACGCUGGGCUACACACGUGCUACAAUGGCGGUGACAGUGGGCAGCAAGCACGCGAGUGUGAGCUAAUCUCCAAAAACCGUCUCAGUUCGGAUUGUUCUCUGCAACUCGAGAGCAUGAAGGCGGAAUCGCUAGUAAUCGCGGAUCAGCAUGCCGCGGUGAAUACGUUCCCAGGCCUUGUACACACCGCCCGUCACGCCAUGGGAGUUGGUUUCACCCGAAGAUGGUGCGCUAACCCGCAAGGGAGGCAGCCAGCCACGGUGGGAUCAGCGACUGGGGUGAAGUCGUAACAAGGUAAGCGUAGUGCU
RNAcentral lists this ribosomal RNA (518 nucleotides) under uncultured bacterium. Its description in RNAcentral is "bacterial SSU rRNA". It matches the Rfam family "Bacterial small subunit ribosomal RNA", at positions 992 to 1509 of the family's 1533-position model. The record is from RNAcentral.